This 495-nucleotide ribosomal RNA is filed under the name uncultured bacterium. RNAcentral's name for it is "partial 16S ribosomal RNA". It matches the Rfam family "Bacterial small subunit ribosomal RNA", at positions 28 to 507 of the family's 1533-position model. The record is from RNAcentral.
GACGAACGCUGGCGGCGUGCCCAAUACAUGCAAGUAGAACGCUGACGCAGGAGCUUGCUCUUCUGGAUGAGUUGCGAACGGGGGAGUAACGCGUAGGUAACCUGCCUGGUAGCGGGGGAUAACUAUUGGAAACGAUAGCUAAUACCGCAUAAGAUUAGAUCUUGCAUUACAUUCACUUGAACUUCGCAACUGCCUCACUACCAGAAGGCCCUGUGUUGUAUUAGGUAGUUGGUGGGGUAACGGCCUAACAAGGAGACGAUACAGAGGCUGCCUGAGGGGGUGGUCGGCCCAGCUGGGACCGGGACACGGCCCAGACUCCUACGGGAAGGAGCCAUAGGGAAACUUCGGCAAUGGACGGAAAUCUGACCGCAGAAAGCCGCGUUGGUGAAGAAGGUUCUCGGAUCGUAAAGCCCUGUUGUAAGAGAAGAAAGAGUGGGAGAGUGAAAAGUUCACACUGUGACGGUAGCUUACCAGAAAGCGACGGCUAACUACGUG